CAGUGGGGAAUUUUGGACAAUGGGCGCAAGCCUGAUCCAGCCAUGCCGCGUGCGGGAAGAAGGCCUUCGGGUUGUAAACCGCUUUUGUCAGGGAAGAAAAGGUUCUGGUUAAUACCUGGGACUCAUGACGGUACCUGAAGAAUAAGCACCGGCUAACUACGUGCCAGCAGCCGCGGUAAUACGUAGGGUGCAAGCGUUAAUCGGAAUUACUGGGCGUAAAGCGUGCGCAGGCGGUUAUGCAAGACAGAGGUGAAAUCCCCGGGCUCAACCUGGGAACUGCCUUUGUGACUGCAUAGCUAGAGUACGGUAGAGGGGGAUGGAAUUCCGCGUGUAGCAGUGAAAUGCGUAGAUAUGCGGAGGAACACCGAUGGCGAAGGCAAUCCCCUGGACCUGUACUGACGCUCAUGCACGAAAGCGUGGGGAGCAAACAGGAUUAGAUACCCUGGUAGUCCACGCCCUAAACGAUGUCAACUGGUUGUUGGGAGGGUUUCUUCUCAGUAACGUAGCUAACGCG
This 514-nucleotide ribosomal RNA is filed under the name uncultured bacterium. RNAcentral's name for it is "bacterial SSU rRNA". It matches the Rfam family "Bacterial small subunit ribosomal RNA", at positions 352 to 859 of the family's 1533-position model. The record is from RNAcentral.